This 1001-nucleotide long non-coding RNA is filed under the name Populus trichocarpa (black cottonwood). Its description in RNAcentral is "long non-coding RNA (PTRI_LNC002396)". The record is from RNAcentral. Lineage: Eukaryota; Viridiplantae; Streptophyta; Magnoliopsida; Malpighiales; Salicaceae.
AUCCUGCAAUGCACAGAGACCAUUAGUUCUGAUGACCAAGAACAGUGUAAAAAAGUGUAAGUCUAGCUAUCCAAAAACCAUAAAAGUCGAGACUAAAAAAGUGUAUAUCAACUGGAUGGAAAAACUAAUGUCCAUGUCUAUCAAGGGAGCUGUUGAUCGGAAUACAAAAGAUUGAAGGCGGAAAAAAAAAAAAAGUUGAGAGGUCCGCACCUAUAAAUUCUUGGAAAUAACCAGAACCUGCUACAGCUACAAAUGUCCUAGAAAGCAAGAGUAACAUUAGAAGGAAAGCCUUGACAAUAAAUGCAAAGUAACCCGCAAAUAUUUUUUGAUUUCCAAGUUUUCUUGGUGGAUAAAGCACGCGAGGAUUAAACGUGCAUUUCUAGACUAAAAACUUCCUCUCCUUUUUUGGUCGAUUCGUUUUGGUUCAUCAAACAGAUUUUUCUUAACGAUUCAAAAAGACCUGUUUGAUCCCAAAAAACCAAGAGAAGAUAACGAUUUGUUAACAAAAGAAAACAUCCAAAGAGAAAAACAAAGGCAUGCGAUAACAGGAAUCUAGGGGGGGAAGUCAAAAGCAAAAACAUCAUAAGCCCUCUGUUUAAGCAAUGCUUGAAUUAAAAAAAAAAAAGAGAGAGGAAAGAAAGCCUUUUUUUAUGAGAAAACUAUAGAAUCUACACGAUGAAAGUGUUUUCCAAUACUCCGCGGCUUGGUCGAACCAAGCCUCCGCCGAUAAGUUUAAAAAGAAAAAAUCCAAAGAUGCACAACAAAAGCCCCCAUCCAAACUUCUCAUCCUAUUAGUAAAAUGCUUUCAGUUCAGACACAAAGUUUCAACGUGCAUUUUUUUUUUAACUUUGAGACAACGACAAUUGCAAUUGACUUUUCUGUUCAUAGUUUUUUCCAAGACAACCUUUGACGGAUAUUUAGAAUCGUACCAUGCAAUCCUCAUAGUCAUCUAAAUCCAGGGGGAGAAAAAAACCAAAAAAAAUGAGAGAGCUAACCAAACA